GACGAACGCUGGCGGCGUGCUUAACACAUGCAAGUCGAACGGAAAGGCCCUGCUUUUGUGGGGUGCUCGAGUGGCGAACGGGUGAGUAACACGUGAGUAACCUGCCCUUGGCUUUGGGAUAACUUCAGGAAACUGGGGCUAAUACCGGAUAGGAGCUCCUGCUGCAUGGUGGGGGUUGGAAAGUUUCGGCGGUUGGGGAUGGACUCGCGGCUUAUCAGCUUGUUGGUGGGGUAGUGGCUUACCAAGGCUUUGACGGGAAGCCGGCCUGAGAGGGUGACCGGCCACAUUGGGACUGAGAUACGGCCCAGACUCCUACGGGAGGCAGCAGUGGGGAAUAUUGCACAAUGGGCGGAAGCCUGAUGCAGCAACGCCGCGUGCGGGAUGACGGCCUUCGGGUUGUAAACCGCUUUCGCCUGUGACGAAGCGUGAGUGACGGUAAUGGGUAAAGAAGCACCGGCUAACUACGUG
This 468-nucleotide ribosomal RNA is filed under the name uncultured bacterium. Its description in RNAcentral is "partial 16S ribosomal RNA". It matches the Rfam family "Bacterial small subunit ribosomal RNA", at positions 28 to 507 of the family's 1533-position model. The record is from RNAcentral.